UGCUUCCGCUAAACCUAAUUGUCUCCUUUGUUCAUCUGAUUUUGACUUCGGUGGCCAGGAUGACGAUCCAUUGUUCUCUAUCUCCUGUAACGGAACUCGACUUUAAUGGCAGUAAUACAGACGCCCAGUACGAGCCAUUCAAUGCGUCGUUUCCGGCAAAAUCUCUGCUAUAAAUAGGCGGUGAAACUUGAGUAUAAAAAGGUUGAAGUUAAGAAAGACAAUAUGCUGGAGUCCUCAAAGGAUCUCUUCUUUCUAACUUCAUCAUAGAGGCUGCCGUAUUUGAUACUACAAGCUGGUACAAAUCUGUAGGAUUUAGUUAUGAACUUUCUCCCAAGGUGGCUAAUU
Molecule: long non-coding RNA, 345 nt
Organism: Brassica napus (rape)
Lineage: Eukaryota; Viridiplantae; Streptophyta; Magnoliopsida; Brassicales; Brassicaceae
Exons: 3
Source: RefSeq, a predicted model, not a curated record